GAUGAAGAACUCAGCGAAAUGCGAUACUUGGUGUGAAUUGCAGAAUCCCGUGAACCAUCGAGUCUUUGAACGCAAGUUGCGCCCGAAGCCAUUAGGCCGAGGGCACGCCUGCCUGGGCGUCACACGUCGUUGCCCCCCCAUCUACUCCUUCGGGAUUGCGGGGGGCGGAUGAUGGCCUCCCGUGCGCCUCGUCGCGCGGUUGGCCUAAAUGCCAAGUCCUCGGCGACGCACGCCACGACAAUCGGUGGUUGCGAAACCUCGGUUGCCCGUCGUGUGCGGUCGUCGCGCAUCGAGGGCUCGAAAAAAUUGCCGGGCUUCGGCUCGACUUUCAACGCGACCCCAGGUCAGGCGGGGUUACCCGCUGAAUUUAAGCAUAUCAAUAAGCGGAGGA
This 391-nucleotide unclassified non-coding RNA is filed under the name soil metagenome. RNAcentral's name for it is "partial contains 5.8S ribosomal RNA, internal transcribed spacer 2, and large subunit ribosomal RNA". The stretch from base 1 to 122 matches the Rfam family "5.8S ribosomal RNA", at positions 35 to 154 of the family's 154-position model. The record is from RNAcentral.